GGGCCCUCGAAAUCCUGUGGCGAGAGGAUUCAGUCUGUCGUCGCGGACGCGCGGUCGGAAAAUCGAGCAGGGCUUCCCGUCACGGGGCCGUUCGACCGCGCGCUUCCGCGUUCGUCCGACGCAUUUGUCUCUCGUCCGAAGGACGCCGCAGCCGGUGGGGCAGCGAAAGCGUGACGGCCUGAAGGCGGGGUGACGGCAGGUGGCCGGUGGCCGGCCUCGUGCCGGUCGCCGGUUGUUAGCCGAUCCCGCAGUGGCACGUCGCUCCACCGAGGUAUCACCAGGCUCGCACGGGCCGAAUCGUCUCCUCCUCCGAGGAAGUCGGGGCAGAUCGUCGCAGGCGAAGUCCGCCGUCCCGUCGCACUCCCCACGAGUGGACGGGCGAACGGACGGCACCGCUGGCGACGGCGGACCCGUCGGAGGCCGACGGCUGGCGGCGAGUAGGUCGGUCACCCACCCGACCCGUCUUGAAACACGGACCAAGGAGUCUAACAUGUGCGCGAGUCAAUGGGUCUUGAACAGGCCCAGGGGCGCAAUGAAAGCAAAGGUCGGCACCCGUCGACCGAGUCGGGAUCCCGGCCUCUUAUCAAAGGGGGUCGGGCGCACCGACGACCCGUCCCGUCCGGCUCGCCGGUGGGGCGGAGUGUGAGCGUACACGUUGGGACCCGAAAGAUGGUGAACUAUGCCCGGACAGGACGAGGCCAGAGGAAACUCUGGUGGAGGUCCAGCGUUCUGACGUGCAAUCAAUCGUCAAUCCGGUCUAGG
This 762-nucleotide ribosomal RNA is filed under the name Agroeca inopina. Its description in RNAcentral is "partial large subunit ribosomal RNA". The stretch from base 476 to 762 matches the Rfam family "Eukaryotic large subunit ribosomal RNA", at positions 665 to 921 of the family's 3401-position model. The record is from RNAcentral. Lineage: Eukaryota; Metazoa; Arthropoda; Arachnida; Araneae; Liocranidae.